RNAcentral lists this ribosomal RNA (1053 nucleotides) under uncultured marine bacterium. RNAcentral describes it as "bacterial SSU rRNA". It matches the Rfam family "Bacterial small subunit ribosomal RNA", at positions 64 to 1096 of the family's 1533-position model. The record is from RNAcentral.
GCGCUGAGGUUGGUACUUGUACCAACUGGAUGAGCAGCGAACGGGUGAGUAACGCGUGGGGAAUCUGCCUUUGAGCGGGGGACAACAUUUGGAAACGAAUGCUAAUACCGCAUAAAAACGUUAAACACAAGUUUUAAGUUUGAAAGAUGCAAUUGCAUCACUCAAAGAUGAUCCCGCGUUGUAUUAGCUAGUUGGUGAGGUAAAGGCUCACCAAGGCGAUGAUACAUAGCCGACCUGAGAGGGUGAUCGGCCACAUUGGGACUGAGACACGGCCCAAACUCCUACGGGAGGCAGCAGUAGGGAAUCUUCGGCAAUGGACGAAAGUCUGACCGAGCAACGCCGCGUGAGUGAAGAAGGUUUUCGGAUCGUAAAACUCUGUUGGUAGAGAAGAACGUUGGUGAGAGUGGAAAGCUCAUCAAGUGACGGUAACUACCCAGAAAGGGACGGCUAACUACGUGCCAGCAGCCGCGGUAAUACGUAGGUCCCGAGCGUUGUCCGGAUUUAUUGGGCGUAAAGCGAGCGCAGGUGGUUUACUAAGUCUGGUGUAAAAGGCAGUGGCUCAACCAUUGUAUGCAUUGGAAACUGGUAGACUUGAGUGCAGGAGAGGAGAGUGGAAUUCCAUGUGUAGCGGUGAAAUGCGUAGAUAUAUGGAGGAACACCGGUGGCGAAAGCGGCUCUCUGGCCUGUAACUGACACUGAGGCUCGAAAGCGUGGGGAGCAAACAGGAUUAGAUACCCUGGUAGUCCACGCCGUAAACGAUGAGUGCUAGGUGUAGGGAGCUAUAAGUUCUCUGUAUCGCAGCUAACGCAAUAAGCACUCCGCCUGGGGGAGUACGACCGCAAGGUUGAAACUCAAAGGAAUUGACGGGGGCCCGCACAAGCGGUGGAACCAUGUGGUUUAAUUCGAAGCAACGCGAAGAACCUUACCAGGUCUUGACAUACUCGUGCUAUUCCUAGAAGGAUAGGAAGUUCCUUCGGGACACGGGAUACAGGUGGUUGCAUGGUUGUCGUCAGCUCGUGUCGUGAGAAGGUUGGGGUUAAGUCCCGCAACGAG